Molecule: ribosomal RNA, 301 nt
Filed under: uncultured bacterium
Lineage: Bacteria
Description: partial 16S ribosomal RNA
Rfam family: Bacterial small subunit ribosomal RNA
Source: RNAcentral
CAGCCGCCGCGGUAAUACGGAGGGGGCUAGCGUUGUUCGGAAUUACUGGGCGUAAAGCGCACGUAGGCGGCUUGGUAAGUUAGAGGUGAAAGCCCGGAGUUCAACUCCGGAAUUGCCUUUAAGACUGCCGAGCUAGUAGGUGAGAGAGGUAAGUGGAAUCCCGAGUGUAGAGGUGAAAUUCGUAGAUAUUCAGAAGAACACCAGUGGCGAAGGCGGCUUACUGGCUCAUUCUAGACGCUGAGGUGCGAAAGCGUGGGGAGCAAACAGGAUUAGAUACCCCCGUAGUCCCUGUCUCUUAUAC